RNAcentral lists this ribosomal RNA (1822 nucleotides) under Oceanospirillaceae bacterium. Its description in RNAcentral is "partial 23S ribosomal RNA". It matches the Rfam family "Bacterial large subunit ribosomal RNA", at positions 1120 to 2925 of the family's 2925-position model. The record is from RNAcentral. Lineage: Bacteria; Pseudomonadati; Pseudomonadota; Gammaproteobacteria; Oceanospirillales; Oceanospirillaceae.
CCUUUAAAGAAAGCGUAAUAGCUCACUAGUCGAAUCGGCCUGCGCGGAAGAUAUAACGGGGCUCAAACAUACCACCGAAGCUACGGACGCAUGCUUGCAUGCGUGGUAGAGGAGCGUUCUGUAGGCCGUUGAAGGGAAAGCUGAGAGGCAUCCUGGAGGUAUCAGAAGUGCGAAUGCUGACAUGAGUAACGAUAAGGGGAGUGAAAAGCUCCCCCGCCGGAAGACCAAGGUUUCCUAUCCAAUGCUAAUCAGGGUAGGGUGAGUCGGCCCCUAAGGCGAGGCUGAAGAGCGUAGUCGAUGGGAAGCAGGUUAAUAUUCCUGCACCACUCAAUAUUGCGAAGGAGGGACGGAGAAGGCUAGUCCAGCACGGCGUUGGUUGUCCGUGUUUAAGCGUGUAGGCUGGGAGUUUAGGUAAAUCCGGACUCCCUUAAGGCUGAGGCGUGAUGACGAGGUCCAUUAGGACUGAAGUGGUUGAUGCCAUACUUCCAGGAAAAGCUUCUAAGCAUCAGGUAUUGAGUGACCGUACCCCAAACCGACACAGGUGGUCAGGUAGAGAAUACCAAGGCGCUUGAGAGAACUCGGGUGAAGGAACUAGGCAAAAUGGUACCGUAACUUCGGGAGAAGGUACGCCGCUGAUGGUGAUGGGACUUGCUCCCUAAGCUGUUGGCGGCCGAAGAUACCAGGUGGCUGCGACUGUUUAUUAAAAACACAGCACUGUGCAAACACGAAAGUGGACGUAUACGGUGUGACGCCUGCCCGGUGCCGGAAGGUUAAUUGAUGGGGUUAGCUUCGGCGAAGCUCUUGAUCGAAGCCCCGGUAAACGGCGGCCGUAACUAUAACGGUCCUAAGGUAGCGAAAUUCCUUGUCGGGUAAGUUCCGACCUGCACGAAUGGCGUAACGACGGCCACACUGUCUCCACCCGAGACUCAGUGAAAUUGAAAUCGCUGUUAAGAUGCAGUGUAUCCGCGGCUAGACGGAAAGACCCCGUGAACCUUUACUAUAGCUUCACAGUGAACUUUGAACCUAUUUGUGUAGGAUAGGUGGGAGGCUUUGAAACUGGGACGCAAGUCUUAGUGGAGCCAUCCUUGAAAUACCACCCUGGUAUGUUUGAGGUUCUAACUCAGGUCCGUAAUCCGGAUCGAGGACACUGUGUGGUGGGUAGUUUGACUGGGGCGGUCUCCUCCCAAAGAGUAACGGAGGAGCACGAAGGUAUGCUAAUCAUGGUCGGAAAUCAUGAGGUUAGUGCAAUGGCAUAAGCAUGCUUAACUGCGAGACAGACACGUCGAGCAGAUACGAAAGUAGGUCAUAGUGAUCCGGUGGUUCUGAAUGGAAGGGCCAUCGCUCAACGGAUAAAAGGUACUCCGGGGAUAACAGGCUGAUACCGCCCAAGAGUUCACAUCGACGGCGGUGUUUGGCACCUCGAUGUCGGCUCAUCACAUCCUGGGGCUGAAGCCGGUCCCAAGGGUAUGGCUGUUCGCCAUUUAAAGUGGUACGCGAGCUGGGUUUAGAACGUCGUGAGACAGUUCGGUCCCUAUCUGCCGUGGACGUUUGAGAUUUGAGAAGAGUUGCUCCUAGUACGAGAGGACCGGAGUGAACGAACCUCUGGUGUUCCGGUUGUCACGCCAGUGGCAUUGCCGGGUAGCUACGUUCGGACAGGAUAACCGCUGAAAGCAUCUAAGCGGGAAGCCCCCUUCAAGAUGAGAUCUCACAGGACUUUAAGUCCCUAAAGAGCCGUUCAAGACUAGGACGUUGAUAGGUUGGGUGUGUAAGCACGGUAACGUGUUGAGCUAACCAAUACUAAUUGCUCGUGAGGCUUGACCAU